UUAGAGUUUGAUCCUGGCUCAGGAUGAACGCUAGCGGCAGGCUUAACACAUGCAAGUCGAGGGGCAGCGGGAGUAGCAAUACUUGCCGGCGACCGGCGGAUGGGUGCGUAACGCGUGAGCAACAUUCCCGUAUCAGGGGGAUAACCGGUGGAAACGCCGACUAAUACCCCAUAAGAACAUCUGCGGCAUCAAGGGUGUUUGAAAGAUUCGUCGGAUGCGGAUUGGCUCGCGUGACAUUAGCUAGUUGGUGAGGUAACGGCCCACCAAGGCGACGAUGUCUAGGGGUUCUGAGAGGAAGAUCCCCCACAUUGGAACUGAGACACGGUCCAAACUCCUACGGGAGGCAGCAGUGAGGAAUAUUGGUCAAUGGACGGAAGUCUGAACCAGCCAUGCCGCGUGCAGGAAGACGGCCCUAUGGGUUGUAAACUGCUUUUGUGGUGGAGCAAUAAGGCGUACGUGUACGCCGAUGAGAGUACAUCACGAAUAAGCAUCGGCUAACUCCGUGCCAGCAGCCGCGGUAAUACGGAGGAUGCAAGCGUUAUCCGGAUUUAUUGGGUUUAAAGGGUGCGUAGGCUGUGCAGCAAGUCAGAGGUGAAAGCCCGGUGCUUAACACCGGAACUGCCUUUGAUACUGUUGUGCUGGAAUACGGAUGCCGUGGGAGGAAUGAGUAGUGUAGCGGUGAAAUGCAUAGAUAUUACUCAGAACACCGAUUGCGAAGGCAUCUCACGAAUCCGUCAUUGACGCUGAGGCACGAAAGUGUGGGGAUCAAACAGGAUUAGAUACCCUGGUAGUCCACACUGUAAACGAAGAAAACUAACCGUCGGCGAUAGACAGUCGGUGGCCAAGCGAAAAGCGAUAAGUUAUCCACCUGGGGAGUACGACCGCAAGGUUGAAACUCAAAGGAAUUUGACGGGGGCCCGCACAAGCGGAGGAACAUGUGGUUUAAUUCGAAGCAACGCGAAGAACCUUACCAGGACUUGACAUCUCCUUGAAACCCCUGAUAAUGACGGGGCCUCUUCGGACAAGGAUGACAGGUGGUGCAUGGUUGUCGUCAGCUCGUGUCGUGAGAUGUUGGGUUAAGUCCCGCAACGAGCGCAACCCUUGCCGUUAGUUGCCACCAUUCAGUUGGGCACUCUAAUGGGACUGCCGGGGAUAACUCGGAGGAAGGUGGGGAUGACGUCAAAUCAUCAUGCCCCUUAUGUUCUGGGCUACACACGUGUUACAAUGGUCGGUACAAAGAGCAGCAAUCUCGUGAGAAGGAGCAAAUCUCCAAAACCGAUCUCAGUUCGGACUGUAGGCUGCAACUCGCCUACACGAAGUCGGAGUUGCUAGUAAUCGCGAAUCAGAAUGUCGCGGUGAAUAAAAUCCCGGGCUUUGCAC
Molecule: ribosomal RNA, 1380 nt
Filed under: uncultured bacterium
Lineage: Bacteria
Description: bacterial SSU rRNA
Rfam family: Bacterial small subunit ribosomal RNA
Source: RNAcentral